CCUACGGGUGGCAGCAGUGGGGAAUAUUGGUCAAUGGCCGGAAGGCUGAACCAGCCAUGCCGCGUGAAGGUCAGUGCCCUAUGGGCUUUAAACUUCUUUUGUGCGGGAGCAAUAAUGGUCACGUGUGACCAAGCGAGAGUACCGUACGAAUAAGCAUCAGCUAACUCCGUGCCAGCAGCCGCGGUAAUACGGGGGAUGCAAGCGUUAUCCGGAUUUAUGGGGUUUAAAGGGUGCGUAGGCUGUGAGGUAAGGCAGCGGUGAAAGGCCCCCGCUCAACGGGGUGAAGUGCCAUUGAUACUGCCGUGCUGGAAUGCGGAUGCGGUGGGAGGAAUGUGUGGUGUAGCGGUGAAAUGCAUAGAUAUCAGACAGAACACCGAUUGCGAAGGCAUCUCACGAAUCCGCGAUUGACGCUGAUGCACGAAAGCGUGGGUAUCAAACAGGAUUAGAUACCCGGGUAGUC
This 460-nucleotide ribosomal RNA is filed under the name uncultured bacterium. RNAcentral describes it as "partial 16S ribosomal RNA". It matches the Rfam family "Bacterial small subunit ribosomal RNA", at positions 338 to 795 of the family's 1533-position model. The record is from RNAcentral.